GAUGAACGCUGGCGGCGUGCCUAAUACAUGCAAGUCGAGCGAACAGACGAGGAGCUUGCUCCUCUGACGUUAGCGGCGGACGGGUGAGUAACACAUGGAUAACCUACCUAUAAGACGGGGAUAACUUCGGGAAACCGGAGCUAAUACCGGAGAAUAUAUUGAACCGCAGGGUUCAAGAGUGAAAGACGGUUUUGCUGUCACUUAUAGAUGGAUCCGCGCCGGAUUAGCUAGUUGGUAAGGUAACGGCUUACCAAGGCAACGAUGCGUAGCCGACCUGAGAGGCUGAUCGGCCACACUGGAACUGAGACACGGUCCAGACUCCUACGGGAGGCAGCAGUAGGGAAUCUUGCGCAAUGGGCGAAAGCCUGACGGAGCAACGCCGCGUGAGUGAUGAAGGUCUUCGGAUCGUAAAACUCUUUUAUUAGGGAAGAACAAAUGUGUAAGUAACUAUGCACGUCUUGACGGUACCUAAUCAGAAAGCCCCGGCUAACUACGUG
This 497-nucleotide ribosomal RNA is filed under the name uncultured bacterium. RNAcentral's name for it is "partial 16S ribosomal RNA". It matches the Rfam family "Bacterial small subunit ribosomal RNA", at positions 28 to 507 of the family's 1533-position model. The record is from RNAcentral.